CCUACGGGGGGCAGCAGUGGGGAAUAUUGGACAAUGGGGGGAACCCUGAUCCAGCCAUGCCGCGUGUGUGAAGAAGGCUCUCGGGUUGUAAAGCACUUUCAGUGAGGAAGAACGCCUGGUGGUUAAUACCCAUCAGGAAAGACAUCACUCACAGAAGAAGCACCGGCUAACUCCGUGCCAGCAGCCGCGGUAAUACGGAGGGUGCGAGCGUUAAUCGGAAUUACUGGGCGUAAAGCGCGCGUAGGUGGCUUGAUAAGCCGGUUGUGAAAGCCCCGGGCUCAACCUGGGAACGGCAUACGGAACUGUCAAGCUAGAGUGCAGGAGAGGAAGGUAGAAUUCCCGGUGUAGCGGUGAAAUGCGUAGAGAUCGGGAGGAAUACCAGUGGCGAAGGCGGCCUUCUGGACUGACACUGACACUGAGGUGCGAAAGCGUGGGUAGCAAACAGGAUUAGAUACCCGUGUAGUC
RNAcentral lists this ribosomal RNA (465 nucleotides) under Vreelandella stevensii. RNAcentral's name for it is "partial 16S ribosomal RNA". It matches the Rfam family "Bacterial small subunit ribosomal RNA", at positions 338 to 795 of the family's 1533-position model. Lineage: Bacteria; Pseudomonadati; Pseudomonadota; Gammaproteobacteria; Oceanospirillales; Halomonadaceae. The record is from RNAcentral.